GCCGGAAAGCGUGUUAAUAAGGCAGUGGAAAUAAAAUACAGGUCAUUGGAAAUCGAAUGCAUUCAAAGGUUAUGUUCGUUAACAUUAUUGGUGUCUUACAAUUUUUGCUUGUUUUAUCUUAGGUUUAGCAGCUGUCCGCAUCUGGAUGGUGGGGCACAGCAUCAGUGCACGGCAGUCCGGUUUGGGACCGGGUCUCGGCCUUCCUCCACAUGUGCAGUUGCUUUGGCUGUCCAGACGGGGAAUGCGCCAGCCAGAAUUCCUGCCGCUGAUUCGGAGGCAGGUGCUGCUGGAAGGGCCGCCCACUGCUGUUGGGGUGCAGCUGGGUGAGAACGACCUGGUUUCCAUGGACUGUUUUUUCACUACGUGCUGCAAUUUUGGGUGACCUGGAGAAGCUGCGGGCAGUGGUGCCGACAGCAAAAAUAUUUUGGUCAAAGCUUUUGCAACGACGUGUUUGGAAGGGUAGUCGUUGCCCAGCUGCCACUGAAAGGGCCAGGAAGCGCAUCAAUUCUGCUGUGUCUAAAAAGAUUUUUGAGCUGGGUGGAGAUGUGAUUUCCCAUCCUGAGAUUCUUUUUCAGGCUGCAUCCUUUUUCAGAGCUGAUGGCGCGCAUCUUUCUGCCUCAGGGAAUGAGGCUUGGCUGGGUGCAGUGGUGGCCAAGCUGAGGGCUUGGUUGGGUCUGUGAGUGGUUUGGCGGUGAGCUGUGGGCUCCAUGGCGGUUAGGCAUUGGUUAAAUUGGUGCUUGGAGGGGUAAGUGCCUAUCCCUCCAAAUGAUGCGGAAAGGGAAUUCCGUUAAAGGAAUCCAGGGGCUUGCCAUUCUUUUCGUCCUUGUCCCUGGAAUCGGACUUGGGCCGUGCAAGCCCCACAGGAACAUGAGGGUGAGAAGUGAGGGACUGAUACCCAGCUUCAUUUUCUCACCCAAUACUUGUUUCCCACGCUGGCUUCCGUUGGUGUCCGGAAGGCCAGCUCUGUCCCUGAGGGCAAGGACAGAUAGUCAUAACCAAUGCCUAAGCAACCACUCACAUUUUUUGUAUUUUGAAUAAAGUUGUGGCCAAAAUUAUGCCAAAAACCUUAAACAAAAAUUGAUGUGUGAAGUGUGAAUUUUUUGGGGGGUGGCAUUGUGGGACUCAACACGCAAAGCGUGUUCUCCCUAACAGAGAGCACGUGUUGCGGUUGGGGGAACAAGCCACCCUGCCGUUACUGGGCAGAUUUUGUGAGGAACCCAAGCCUUUAAGUGGUUAAAAUUGGGUUGCUGGGGAGUUUUGAUUGUUGCCAAUUUGGAGGAGGGGUCAGAGUCUUUAAAUACAGGGGCCAGACGUUGGACGUCCUCUUGGCCAUUUUGCACCGGAUCACCCGCCCUCCCUCCCUUUAAUAGGGUGGUUUUUUCUUGAUCGCUUGACCUUGCUAUGCCUGUCAUGGGGUCGUCCGCCUUGGAGCGGGGGCCUGGUAGGAAUUUUGCCAUCUGGCUGAUUGGCUGGUGCCAUUUGGUUUUUGCCUACUGCGUAGCAAAUCGUCACAACUUGUAAGGUUGGCGGUUAGGCAUUGGUUAAAUUGGUGCUUGGAGGGGUAAGUGCCUAUCCCUCCAAAUGAUGCGGAAAGGGAAUUCCGUUAAAGGAAUCCAGGGGCUUGCCAUUCUUUUCGUCCUUGUCCCUGGAAUCGGACUUGGGCCGUGCAAGCCCCACAGGAACAUGAGGGUGAGAAGUGAGGGACUGAUACCCAGCUUCAUUUUCUCACCCAAUACUUGUUUCCCACGCUGGCUUCCGUUGGUGUCCGGAAGGCCAGCUCUGUCCCUGAGGGCAAGGACAGAUAGUCAUAACCAAUGCCUAAGCAACCACUCACAUUUUUUGUAUUUUGAAUAAAGUUGUGGCCAAAAUUAUGCCAAAAACCUUAAACAAAAAUUGAUGUGUGAAGUGUGAAUUUUUUGGGGGGUGGCAUUGUGGGACUCAACACGCAA
Molecule: non-coding RNA, 1949 nt
Organism: Podarcis lilfordi (Lilford's wall lizard)
Lineage: Eukaryota; Metazoa; Chordata; Lepidosauria; Squamata; Lacertidae
Source: the annotation of a GenBank genome assembly